CUGAAGUGAGUCUCUGAGGAGACACCCCUUUUUUUUUUUUUUUUUUUUUUUUGCUCCCGCUUCUUUACUCUUUCCUCGUUUUUCUUACAUGACCUAGUUGGUAGUUUGUUUGUUUGAUUAAGUGUUCAUUUCCAGUACCCCCGUCAGUGUUUCACUGUACGGGGGGGGAGUGUUUAGUCCGCACUUUUGGCGUGUUUUCCUCCUUUUACAAUUGUUUGUUUAAGGAGCGCCUUUCUUUUUUUCAAGAUGACUGAUCCACCGGUACAACGGACCUGGCCUGGCUUACAGACGACCCCUACGGACACCCCCACGAUGAAUGGACAGAUAGAUACGACCCGGACCGGCCUGAUGACUACCCACACGGAGAUUCCCACACGGAGAACUAACAGAGAUACGGAUCUCUCCUUCAAAAAAGUGAGAAUUCGGCUGUGCAGGUUGUGACAGAGACCGAUGAGAAGAACCAGCCGGCAGCAUCCUCCAGGGAGAUGGCGGGGGAGAACCUUGAGGAGUCGGAGGGAAGGGGAGAAGGAGAGUUCGGAGCCGAAGUCUGGCAAGAUAUUUGAAGGAGCCCAGCCUGAGGGACCAUCGGUGUCGGAAGAGGGGAGCACCUGAGAGGGUGGAAGAAAUGGAGGGAGGACAAGAUUAAAAGGCAGGUCCGGCUGUACUGCGGAUCAUCUUUGGUGAUGAGUCUGACUCAAGAAAAUUACCCUUGGAUUCUGGAAUUCCAGCAACGGUGGAAGAGCUGCAUAUGAUACCGUCAGAAAGAAUCAUGUCUCACGUGCUGCCACAGAUGAGAUUCUGAAACACUCAAUUAGGUGGUUCAACCUGGCAGCAGACAGGGGACGUUCCAGGAGACGGGCCACUGUCAGCAUCCCUACUGACAAAGCCUAAACUUGUAUGUUUUAUACAUGUAAUGUUCUAAAAUCCUUUUAAAUGGAUUUAAUUUAAUAAAAAAUAACUGUUUUUGAUACUAUUAAUGGUUACAUUUCCUUUUUCCAUUAAUACCUAUUCAAUAUAUAGGCUGUA
Molecule: long non-coding RNA, 1026 nt
Organism: Anarrhichthys ocellatus (wolf-eel)
Lineage: Eukaryota; Metazoa; Chordata; Actinopteri; Perciformes; Anarhichadidae
Exons: 4
Source: RefSeq, a predicted model, not a curated record